RNAcentral lists this ribosomal RNA (257 nucleotides) under uncultured bacterium. Its description in RNAcentral is "partial 16S ribosomal RNA". It matches the Rfam family "Bacterial small subunit ribosomal RNA", at positions 524 to 776 of the family's 1533-position model. The record is from RNAcentral.
UACGAAGGGAGCGAGCAUUAUUCAUCAUGAUUGGGUGUAAAAGGUACCUUGGUUGUUUAUUAAGUUUAUUAUUAAAUUCUAGAACUUAAUUUUAGUAAAGUAGUAAAUACUAGUAAACUUGAGUUUAUUAUAAAGGAUAGCAGUAUUAACAAAGUAAGGGUGAUAUCUAACGAUAUUGUUAAGACUACCAUUUGGCGAAGGCAGCUAUCUGGGUUAAGACUGACACUUAAAGUACAAAAGCAUGGGGAGCAAAUGGG